Ailuropoda melanoleuca (giant panda) is the source of this 419-nucleotide long non-coding RNA. RefSeq lists it as uncharacterized. The record is from RefSeq and is a predicted model, not a curated record. The transcript has 3 exons. NCBI's taxonomy places the organism in Eukaryota, Metazoa, Chordata, Mammalia, Carnivora, Ursidae.
CUGAAGUGGGAGAGCACCAUUUUAUGGACUGAGAGUUACUAAAUACAUAAAAAGAUAAGUAAUCAAUCAAUCAAUCAAUCUCAGGCACGACCACUGACUCCCUCCAGAAAGGGUCCGUCCUAAUAGUCAUCAGUGUCCCUUCUGCAUGGUUAUUUCUAGAGUAGGCAAGGCACUCGACUCCCUCCAUCCUCACAGACGCCUGGAGAGGCAGCCAUUUGUAUCCUGUACACAUCCGGUUUGAAGCUCAGAAGAGUGAAGUAACCACCCCAACGUCCACCAGUGAAUGUGAACACUGUGAAGGAAGGGGCUUUGUCGAUGUCUCCAUCCCCAGCACUGAAAAUAGUUCCUGGUACAUGAGACCUUCAAAUAUUUACAAAAUAAGAGAAGAGUAGCAUGAAUCUUCACGUGCCCAUUGCCCA